This is a long non-coding RNA of Serinus canaria (Common canary), 597 nucleotides long. RefSeq lists it as uncharacterized. The transcript has 4 exons. Lineage: Eukaryota; Metazoa; Chordata; Aves; Passeriformes; Fringillidae. The record is from RefSeq and is a predicted model, not a curated record.
GUCUCACCGCAGGGAAGGAGAAGGAGCCCCUGGAGAAGCUGUACCAGGUGGGGAUGCUGCUGCUGCUGCUGGAGACAGUGAGGAUGAUAGCAAGGAUGACAAGCUCUUCCUCAACCUGGCCACCAGUGGCUGAAGAGGAAGCAUUCUGAGUGGUCCAGUCUGGAUGGGAAGUGCUUGGGAGCAGCUGUGGCGUGGAUGGACCGUGCUUUUGGAGAAGGCUGAGGACAUGGUUUGGGAGCAGCUUUUCUUCCAGCCAUGGAUGGCGUGAGCCGGGCUCUGCGGGUGCUGAGGCUGCUCUGGGCUCUGCCAGGGCUCUGCUGGGCUCAGCCCUGGGCCCAGCUGGGCUGGCUCUGCCCUCACAUUGCUCUGACAGCUUUGCAUCAGACGAGCCCAUUGCGAGCACAACACCUGAGCUUUCUGCUGUGGCAGAAGUGCCACGAGUGGGCCAAAGCUGGCGAGUGGGCCGUGUUCCUGAGGCAGUGCAGGCUGGAGCUGAUGGAUGGAGAAUUGCCCUUCUGCACUUCCCAAACAGAGCAAAAAGCCGUAAGUGGGACUUGGUGUCUUUAAGAAAUCCCUGACAGUUUCAAAGGGAAUGUG